UGGGUAACCUGCCCAAGAGAUCGGGAUAACACCUGGAAACAGAUGCUAAUACCGGAUAACAACAGAUGAUGCCUAUCAACUGUUUAAAAGAUGGUUCUGCUGUCACUCUUGGAUGGACCUGCGGUGCAUUAACUAGUUGGUAGGGUAACGGCCUACCAAGGCGAUGAUGCAUAGCCGAGUUGAGAGACUGAUCGGCCACAUUGGGACUGAGACACGGCCCAAACUCCUACGGGAGGCAGCAGGG
This 244-nucleotide ribosomal RNA is filed under the name uncultured Lactobacillus sp. RNAcentral's name for it is "partial 16S ribosomal RNA". It matches the Rfam family "Bacterial small subunit ribosomal RNA", at positions 118 to 354 of the family's 1533-position model. Lineage: Bacteria; Bacillati; Bacillota; Bacilli; Lactobacillales; Lactobacillaceae. The record is from RNAcentral.